GACGAACGCUGGCGGCGUGCUUAACACAUGCCAGUCGAACGGAAAGGCCCUGCUUGCAGGGUACUCGAGUGGCGAACGGGUGAGUAACACGUGGGUGAUCUGCCCUGCACUUCGGGAUAAGCCUGGGAAACUGGGUCUAAUACCGGAUAGGAGCCAUUUUUAGUGUGAUGGUUGGAAAGUUUUUUCGGUGUAGGAUGAGCUCGCGGCCUAUCAGCUUGUUGGUGGGGUAAUGGCCUACCAAGGCGGCGACGGGUAGCCGGCCUGAGAGGGUGGACGGCCACAUUGGGACUGAGAUACGGCCCAGACUCCUACGGGAGGCAUCAGUGGGGAAUAUUGCACAAUGGGCGCAAGCCUGAUGCAGCGACGCCGCGUGGGGGAUGACGGCCUUCGGGUUGUAAACUCCUUUCGCUAGGGACGAAGCUUUUUGUGACGGUACCUAGAGAAGAAGCACCGGCUAACUACGUG
RNAcentral lists this ribosomal RNA (465 nucleotides) under uncultured bacterium. RNAcentral's name for it is "partial 16S ribosomal RNA". It matches the Rfam family "Bacterial small subunit ribosomal RNA", at positions 28 to 507 of the family's 1533-position model. The record is from RNAcentral.